This is a long non-coding RNA of Odocoileus virginianus texanus, 530 nucleotides long. RefSeq lists it as uncharacterized. NCBI's taxonomy places the organism in Eukaryota, Metazoa, Chordata, Mammalia, Artiodactyla, Cervidae. The record is from RefSeq and is a predicted model, not a curated record.
CAGACUUACUCCACCAGCAUGCUCACUUCCGCCAUGCUUUGUGCGCGGGGGUCUCCCCUGACCUUUCUUCCUGAUGUAACGACCCACAGCCUCCCCAAAAGAUUACAUUUCAUUCCAGAGUCUGCCAAGAGAAUGGAAAGCACUUCAGGCAUUCCAGGGGAAGAUUUAAUACAGGGAACCAGUUACAACUUUGUUGGGAGGGACGCAGGAGCAAGUCAACUAGGGGCUGUCACCAAAGGAAAUGCCUGAAGUCCCACUCAGAAGUAAAUGCUCUUUGCUGAAACUGGAAGGAGACAAUUCCUAUUUUCCCAACCUGCAGUUGAGGUUCCCUGUGCUCCGGGAAAGCGAGAAAACUCCCAACGAGGAACACAUUUGAGUCAGUAGAACUCAGGAGCCAGUUUGAGUAACUUUCCACCAACCAGAGAUGGGACAGUGUGAGCGCCAAUGAGUACGGUGUAACUGCAAUAUACUAUUAAUAAAGUGUAUAAAAUGUUUAAAUCCAUGAAAUUAAAAUAUUGUUUAAAAAAAAG